GCUACCUUGAAGACUCUUCAACGAUUCCUCACCUGGAUUCCAGUUGGCUACGUUUUCGAGACAAACAUCACGGAAUUGCUGUCUGAAAACUUCCUUUCGCUUGAAGUGUAUCGUGUCAUCGCUCUUCAAUGUCUCACGGAAAUUUCACAAAUUCAAGUUGAAACCAACGAUCCCAGCUACGACGAAAAGCUUGUCAAAAUGUUCUGCUCUACAAUGCGCCACAUUAGCCAAGUUCUAUCUUUGGACCUCGACCUGGCUGCUGUCUACAAAGAUGCUUCCGAUCAGGAUCAGAAACUCAUCAGUAGUCUGGCUCAAUUUCUUGUCGCGUUCAUCAAAGAGCACGUUCAUCUGAUUGAAGUAACUGAUGAGCCAUUAACUGAGGCUAAAAUUUUAAUGCGAGAAUCUCACGACUAUGCUAUUCAACUUCUUUUGAAAAUCACUUUGAUCGAAGAAAUGGAGGUUUUCAAAGUUUGCCUCGAUUGUUGGUGCUGGUUGACUGCUGAGCUCUACCGUAUAUGUCCAUUCAUUCAGCCAAGUACUCUUUACGGAAUGAUGAGUCAGGUUCGUGAGCAUCCACGUCGUCAACUCUACCGUGAAUACCUCUCGCAACUUCGUUCAACAAUGAUUUCUCGAAUGGCAAAGCCAGAAGAGGUGUUGAUUGUGGAAAAUGAUCAAGGAGAAGUUGUUCGUGAAAUGGUCAAAGAUACUGAUUCGAUUGCUUUGUACCGUAACAUGCGUGAAACGCUUGUCUAUUUGACUCAUCUUGACAACAAGGACACUGAAGUGAAGAUGACUGAAAAGUUGGCAUCACAAGUGAACGGAGGAGAGUUUUCGUGGAAGAAUUUGAAUCGUUUGUGCUGGGCUGUUGGUUCGAUUUCUGGAACGAUGGUUGAAGAAGACGAAAAGCGAUUCCUUGUUCUUGUUAUUCGUGAUUUACUCGGGCUCUGUGAACAGAAACGUGGAAAGGACAAUAAGGCAGUGAUUGCGUCAAACAUCAUGUAU
This 1002-nucleotide small RNA is filed under the name Caenorhabditis elegans. RNAcentral's name for it is "Unclassified non-coding RNA ZK742.9". The record is from RNAcentral. Lineage: Eukaryota; Metazoa; Nematoda; Chromadorea; Rhabditida; Rhabditidae.